This 268-nucleotide ribosomal RNA is filed under the name uncultured bacterium. RNAcentral's name for it is "partial 16S ribosomal RNA". It matches the Rfam family "Bacterial small subunit ribosomal RNA", at positions 793 to 1055 of the family's 1533-position model. The record is from RNAcentral.
GUCCACGCCGUAAACGAUGAGAACUAGAUGUCGCGGGUGUUGACCCCUGCGGUGUCGCAGCUAACGCAUUAAGUUCUCCGCCUGGGAAGGUACGGUCGCAAGAUUAAAACUACAAGGAAUUGACGGGGGCCCGGCACAAGCGGUGGAGCAUGUGGUUUAAUUCGACGCAACGCGCAGAACCUUACCUGGUCUUGACAUCCUUCGAAGCCGACCCAAAAGUUGGCGUGCCCGCAAGGGAGCGGAGAGACAGGUGCUGCAUGGCUGUCGU